This 257-nucleotide ribosomal RNA is filed under the name uncultured bacterium. RNAcentral describes it as "partial 16S ribosomal RNA". It matches the Rfam family "Bacterial small subunit ribosomal RNA", at positions 524 to 777 of the family's 1533-position model. The record is from RNAcentral.
UACGAAGGGGGCUAGCGUUGCUCGGAAUCACUGGGCGUAAAGGGUGCGUAGGCGGGUCUUUUAAGUCAGGGGUGAAAUCCUGGAGCUCAACUCCAGAACUGCCUUUGAUACUGAAGAUCUUGAGUUCGGGAGAGGUGAGUGGAACUGCGAGUGUAGAGGUGAAAUUCGUAGAUAUUCGCAAGAACACCAGUGGCGAAGGCGGCUCACUGGCCCGAUACUGACGCUGAGGCACGAAAAGCGUGGGGGAGCAAACAGGG